AUGACGAGUGGGCUCGCGUUGCAGGCUUGUUGGCUGGGUUUGUUAUCGCCGCGUGCACAGGUUUCGGCCAAUCCGCUCCACGCGCCUCGCAGCCAAUCCCUGCCCUCGACUCGUCCCACUCCCACACGAGCCGCCAGACAAACCCUAGCCUGUUUCCCCUCAACCCCCAACCUCUCAUGCCUCCUCCGCCCCUUCUCCUCGCAUCACCACGGGAUUCUCGCCAACGCCUGCUAUUCCCCCUCCCUCAUCUCUGUUCGACGCCAAGGACCAGCUCACCCCGCACCUUUUAUCCACCCACGACCUAGGGUUGGGGAGGCCGGGUGUUCUCGCUGGGGUGGAGGAGCAGGUGAGGGCCGGGAGGCCGACGAAGAGGUCGGUGUGGGGCCCAAGGAGCAGCGGGGCAAGAACAGUGGGGGUGGGGCUUUCAUCUCCUCUGUUCUAAUCGCGACUCCUGCGACCUCGUCACCGGUGCUCGCUCGACUGGCAUAUGGGGCGGCGGCCGGGACGUUGGCCCUCCGCACGAACUCGAAGCCGAGUCUAGCUGACGAGCCCCGUGGUUGGUUUCUCCUACAAUCUCCAGAUCCCCUUUUGCUCAUUCUCUUCCUCUCCUCAUACAUUUCUCUGUUGUUUGUGUUCCUUCGAUUUGCAGCGAUUUGUAGCAGCCUGCACACACGACAUGAGCAGCAGCCAGGUCCAUGGGCGUUGCUUGUGGAGCAGCGGUCAAGUCACGGUGUGCCAUCAAUUGAGAAAAUAACUUUCCUUCUUGUGAGGCUAGAAGAUGGCGCAAUACUAGACGAGAAUGCUUUCUGCAAUGAUUUAUCAAUUUGGCAUAGUAUUGGUGCUUACUUGUAUGAGGAUCUGAUUUGCAUUGUGUCUCUUAGAUAUCAAACAAUACAUGUUCUACAAAUCCGAGAUUCAAGCAGCCUUGUUGAGGUACGAAGAAUUGGUGCAUUUUGUCGGAAGAUGACGAGCUAUGUCUUCAUUCACAUGGCCAGGCUGCACAAUGGAGUUCUUUUCUUCCCGGAAGGGAAGGAUGUGGCCGCAAAGGCCAAGACUGGUUCUAGAAAGACCUUUGCCUACCUUCUCCCACUGUUGCAAGAGCUGCUGAAGUUGUGCAAAGAAGGGCGUAUUCAGAAAUCUACACCAAAUGACUUAAUCCUGUAUAGUCUCCUGUUGUUAGAUGAUGAACUAAUGUUAUUUUAUGCCAAGAAGUUAAAUUUGUGUGCACCUUCUCAUGGUCCAGUACUCCAGUAUUUAACCAACUGCUCCUCCUUCGGAUACGUGGCAGGGCUUAAUGGCGGCGCCAACUUGAGAAACUCAUAUUUACAUAGAGAAACCUGGUCAAAGGGGUUUGACCAUGUGAUUUGUCCAAAAUGCCCCUGGAUGCGGCUAAACACCGGCGCCCGCGUGAAGGCACAACGACGACGUACGGGAGGAUGCCUGAGAGGUCUAUGGGCUUCAGGGCGGUCAUGCAAGGCUGCGGGCAUGAAGAAGAACUGGACUGAGUUGGUCGGAGACCGUGCGGUGGUCGUGAGGAUGGGCAAUAGUGAGCUCGAGCGGCGGCGAUGGGCGGCGCUCAUGGGGGGAGGUUCUCGGCGGUGCAAGGAAGCUCGAGGGCGCACUAGGACAUUCGAGAGAAGUGCUCGAUCUAAUCGACCGCAAACCAUGCCUGCGAGCCUAGAGCUGGCCACCGACGUCGGAUGUUGGCCGCCGCCGGAGUUGAGCGAGAGAGAGAGAGACACAGAGAGGGGCAAAACUGGCCAGAAAAUGUCAUGUAGCCAGUCAAACGCCUUUGACCACAUGGAAAUGAAUAAUUCUGAAACGAGGUCACUCCUACUGAUCUUGCUCUUCGAGUUUGGUGGGAGCAAGACAAUAGGCUUUGAUAGUGUCUUCAUGUCGUUCCAGAGGGUUAUCGAUCCCGAUAUUGGGCAGUGGGUUGGUGGGAGCUUGGGUCCUUUGAUCACCCCCUAG
This 1971-nucleotide ribosomal RNA is filed under the name Triticum aestivum (bread wheat). RNAcentral describes it as "partial small subunit ribosomal RNA". The record is from RNAcentral. Lineage: Eukaryota; Viridiplantae; Streptophyta; Magnoliopsida; Poales; Poaceae.